AGAGUUUGAUCCUGGCUCAGGAUGAACGCUAGCGGCAGGCCUAACACAUGCAAGUCGUGGGGUAACAGGAUAGCAAUAUCGCUGACGACCGGCGCACGGGUGAGUAAUGCAUAUGCAACCUCCCUCUAACUAGGGGAUAGCUUCCGGAAACGGAAAUUAAUACCCUAUAAUAUCCUAAAGACGCAUGUUUUAUGGAUUAAAGCUCCGGCGGUUAGAGAUGGGCAUAUGUGCCAUUAGCUAGUUGGUGAGGUAAUAGCUCACCAAGGCUACGAUGGUUAGGGGGUCUGAGAGGAUGAUCCCCCACACUGGUACUGAGACACGGACCAGACUCCUACGGGAGGCAGCAGUGAGGAAUAUUGGGCAAUGGGCGCAAGCCUGACCCAGCCAUGCCGCGUGAAGGAUGAAGGCCCUAUGGGUUGUAAACUUCUUUUGUACGGGACGAAACUUCCGGACGUGUCCGGGACUGACAGUACCGUACGAAUAAGCAUCGGCUAACUCCGCGCCAGCAGCCGCGGUAAUACGGAGGAUGCAAGCGUUAUCCGGAUUCAUUGGGUUUAAAGGGUGCGUAGGCGGGAUAAUAAGUCAGUGGUGAAAGCCUGCGGCUUAACCGUAGAAUUGCCAUUGAUACUGUUAUUCUUGAGUACAGUUGAGGUGGGCGGAAUGUGUAAUGUAGCGGUGAAAUGCUUAGAUAUUACACAGAACACCGAUUGCGAAGGCAGCUCACUAAGCUGUUACUGACGCUGAGGCACGAAAGCGUGGGGAGCAAACAGGAUUAGAUACCCUGGUAGUCCACGCUGUAAACGAUGAUCACUAGUUGUUGGCGAUAUACCGUCAGCGACUGAGCGAAAGCAUUAAGUGAUCCACCUGGGGAGUACGACGGCAACGUUGAAACUCAAAGGAAUUGACGGGGGCCCGCACAAGCGGAGGAACAUGUGGUUUAAUUCGAUGAUACGCGAGGAACCUUACCUGGGCUUGAAAGGGGAUUGACAUCUGCCGAAAGGUGGAUUCUCUUCGGAGCAGUCUCCUAGGUGCUGCAUGGUUGUCGUCAGCUCGUGCCGUGAGGUGUCGGGUUAAGUCCCAUAACGAGCGCAACCCUUAUCGUUAGUUGCCAGCGGGUAAUGCCGGGGACUCUAACGAAACUGCCGGUGUAAACCGUGAGGAAGGUGGGGGUGACGUCAAAUCAGCACGGCCCUUAUGUCCAGGGCUACACACGUGUUACAAUGGCCGGUACAAAGGGCAGCUACCUGGUAACAGGAUGCUAAUCUCAAAAACCGGUCUCAGUUCGGAUCGAAGUCUGCAACUCGACUUCGUGAAGCUGGAUUCGCUAGUAAUCGCACAUCAGCAAUGGCGCGGUGAAUACGUUCCCGGGCCUUGUACACACCGCCCGUCAAGCCAUGGAAGCUGGGGGUACCUGAAGUCUGUAACCGUAAGGAGCGGCCUAGGGUAAAACCAGUGACUGGGGCUAAGUCGUAACAAGGUAAC
This 1482-nucleotide ribosomal RNA is filed under the name uncultured bacterium. RNAcentral's name for it is "bacterial SSU rRNA". It matches the Rfam family "Bacterial small subunit ribosomal RNA". The record is from RNAcentral.